AUUGAACGCUGGCGGCAGGCCUAACACAUGCAAGUCGAGCGGAUGAAGGGAGCUUGCUCCUGGAUUCAGCGGCGGACGGGUGAGUAAUGCCUAGGAAUCUGCCUGGUAGUGGGGGAUAACGUCCGGAAACGGGCGCUAAUACCGCAUACGUCCUGAGGGAGAAAGUGGGGGAUCUUCGGACCUCACGCUAUCAGAUGAGCCUAGGUCGGAUUAGCUAGUUGGUGGGGUAAAGGCCUACCAAGGCGACGAUCCGUAACUGGUCCGAGAGGAUGAUCAGUCACACUGGAACUGAGACACGGUCCAGACUCCUACGGGAGGCAGCAGUGGGGAAUAUUGGACAAUGGGCGAAAGCCUGAUCCAGCCAUGCCGCGUGUGUGAAGAAGGUCUUCGGAUUGUAAAGCACUUUAAGUUGGGAGGAAGGGCAGUAAGUUAAUACCUUGUUGUUUUGACGUUACCAACAGAAUAAGCACCGGCUAACUUCGUG
RNAcentral lists this ribosomal RNA (484 nucleotides) under uncultured bacterium. RNAcentral's name for it is "partial 16S ribosomal RNA". It matches the Rfam family "Bacterial small subunit ribosomal RNA", at positions 30 to 507 of the family's 1533-position model. The record is from RNAcentral.